AACGAACGCUGGCGGCGUGGAUAAGACAUGCAAGUCGAACGGGACUUGAUCUGUAGCAAUACAGGUUAAGUCUAGUGGCGAACGGGUGCGUAACACGUGGGCAAUCUGCCGAGAAGUGGGGGAUAGCUCGCCGAAAGGCGAAUUAAUACCGCAUAUGAUCAGGAAGACAUCUUCCCAACAUCAAAGCCGGGGUAACCUGGCGCUUCCUGAUGAGCCCGCGGCCAUCAGCUAGUUGGUGAGGUAACGGCUCACCAAGGCUAUGACGGGUAGCUGGUCUGAGAGGACGACCAGUCACACUGGAACUGAGACACGGUCCAGACACCUACGGGUGGCAGCAGUCGAGAAUUUUUCUCAAUGGGGCAACCCUGAAGGAGCGACGCCG
RNAcentral lists this ribosomal RNA (382 nucleotides) under uncultured bacterium. RNAcentral describes it as "bacterial SSU rRNA". It matches the Rfam family "Bacterial small subunit ribosomal RNA", at positions 29 to 399 of the family's 1533-position model. The record is from RNAcentral.